GGCCCAAUGGUUAUUUGUAUGAUAAAGAAGCCAUUUUAGAAUACAUACUACAGAAGAAGCAGGAUAUUAAAAAGAAGAUUAAAGAAUAUGAAACACAGAAGAAAAAAGAAGAGACUGAAGCCUUAACUUCUUUAGAAUCCAAAAUAAAAGAGAAGAAAAAAGCUUUUGUAGCACAAGGAAGUCAAUGAAGGUACCUUAACACAGUUGUGAUAUGUUCCCUAAUCGGGCUUAGAGACCAAGCGGGCAGCUGCAUUCUGAACUCGCUGAAAUUUUGAAAUAUCCUUAACUGGCAAACCAUAAAGCAAUUACUAACAACAGUCUAGCCUUGAUGUUACAAAAGCAUGAACGAGAAUCUCAGUUGAUCUAGGUUCUAGCAUGUCCAAUCAGGUACACUAAUAAAAACAUGAAUACAUUUUAAAACCUUUAU
Long non-coding RNA from Anneissia japonica, 427 nucleotides. RefSeq lists it as uncharacterized. Lineage: Eukaryota; Metazoa; Echinodermata; Crinoidea; Comatulida; Comatulidae. The transcript has 3 exons. The record is from RefSeq and is a predicted model, not a curated record.